GGGGUGGAAAAGCUAAAACUCACAAUGUUCCUACCUUUAUGCAACUUUCCUUACUUUUGCAGGCAAUUCUGAUCAAGAGUAAUAUAUCCCGUUUCUCUGGAUUUGUGUGGCAUGAAAAUGAGGAAAAGCAAAAGAUUAAAGUAAAAGAAAAAUUUGACAAGUGUAAUAAAGAAAAAUUGUUGGAAUUUUGUGAUGUACUUGACAUACCAGUUGCCAAGGCAGCUACAAAGAAGGAAGAUAUCGUUGCAAAGUUGAUAGACUUUCUGGCAGCCCCUCAUGCUACAACUACUGUGCUACUUGCGGAAAAAGAAAAGGCAAAUAAGAGCAAAAAGCGCAAGAGGGUGACCAAAAGCUCAGCCUCUGGGAGUGUGUCUUCAACACGUUCAGCAAAGAGUCGAAAAAAGGCUGGGGAUGCUUCAAAAACUGAUAAAAAAGACACACCUGAUACAGAAGAUGAGUCAGAAGAAGAAAAAGAAGAGGAAGAGGAGGAAGAAGAAUAUAUAGAAAAGGAAAAUGAGAAUGGUGUUCCAGAGAAAUCUGAUGCUGAGAUGCCUGAGCAUUCUGAAAAUGAAGAAAAUGAGUCGGAGGAGGAAUCUCAAGCAGAUGUUGGCAAGCACAAAACAAGCUCAAAAACGUCGCCUAGAAAGAAGGAAUCUAUUGGAAAAGCUAGAACCCAGAGACUUUUCAUUAAAUCCAGUCCUCCACCAAAAAGAAUGCCUAAAAAAUCUUCAUCAAAACGCACUGAAGAGGAUGAUGGCAGUGAUGCAAGUCCGAAGGUUUUCUCAAGGAAGAAGAAAAAUGACAAAUUAGUAAAGGAGAAGUCCUCAACUCCUACAAAAUCUCCUUCCAAGGAGAGAACAGGUAAAAGGGCUGCAAAAGGGAAGGAAAAGGCUGAAGUCAAAGAGGAGAAAUUGAAGCCAACUGAUGAUGAGC
This 933-nucleotide unclassified non-coding RNA is filed under the name Hevea brasiliensis (rubber tree). The record is from RNAcentral. Lineage: Eukaryota; Viridiplantae; Streptophyta; Magnoliopsida; Malpighiales; Euphorbiaceae.